Molecule: ribosomal RNA, 425 nt
Filed under: uncultured bacterium
Lineage: Bacteria
Description: partial 16S ribosomal RNA
Rfam family: Bacterial small subunit ribosomal RNA
Source: RNAcentral
GUGAGGAAUAUUGGGCAAUGGGCGAAAGCCUGACCCAGCCACGCCGCGUGAGUGAUGAAGGCCUUCGGGUUGUAAAGUUCUUUAGCCGAUGAUUAUAAUGACUGUAGUCGGAAAAUAAGCCCCGGCUAACUUCGUGCCAGCAGCCGCGGUAAUACGAAGGGGGCGAGCGUUAUUCGGAAUCACUGGGCGUAAAGCGUGCGUAGGCGGUUUUGUAAGUUAGGAGUGAAAGCCCAGGGCUCAACCUUGGAAUUGCUCUUAAAACUGCAAGGCUCGAAUCUCGGAGAGGAUAGCGGAAUUUCCAGUGUAGCAGUGAAAUGCGUAGAUAUUGGAAGGAACACCAGUGGCGUAAGCGGCUAUCUGGACGAGUAUUGACGCUGAGGCACGAAAGCGUGGGGAUCAAACAGGAUUAGAAACCCGUGUAGUCC